RNAcentral lists this long non-coding RNA (1173 nucleotides) under Capra hircus (goat). Its description in RNAcentral is "lncRNA (ENSCHIG00010012745.1)". Lineage: Eukaryota; Metazoa; Chordata; Mammalia; Artiodactyla; Bovidae. The record is from RNAcentral.
GUGAGGGACUUAUCUGGGGUGCUCCUUCCUCCUCCGUUUGUGGUCACAGACAGGAAGUCACAGGAUGGUGCCAUCCUUCAGUGGCUCACUGUCUGUGGCUCUGCCUUCCUCCCCAUGUCUCCUUCCCCGGAUUUUCCUCCCCUAUAUUUCCCUACCCCUGGGCAUUUUCUGGCUCAACUGGAUGGACAGAGAUUUAGGAACCUACCAGUUGGCCAUGAUGUCUUGUCUUUUUUUUUUAACAAAACAGAACAAAACCAAAAAAACCCUAGACAAUGGUGUUUGGUUGAUUUAUUUACAAUUAAGAGACAGGGAAUUACUGGGGAUGGGAGAGCUGUCUUAGAUGGUAAAAGGACUGCAAGGGGUCAGCUAGUUCACCCUCCUAUUCCCUGCAUCCUCUUCCUGGGAGGCCGCUCUGUCCUCAAGUCUGUGCUGUCUGUGUACAGACUCCUGGUGGGUCAGUAAUGGCUUCGGAAGGGAGGGAGCGAGCAGGGACAGCCUUGCUGGGCCAAAGCUAUUUCUGAGAUCAGUUGGUGAGUGAAGCGGGGGCAUUUUCUAGGGCAUCAGGCAGAUCGGGUUUGUGUCUGGAUUUGAUUUAUCAAUUUAGUUGGGGGAGGGACUGCCCUGAAGCUGGGGAAAGGGGAUAAGCUCUCCAAUUCAUUCCACAGCUCCGACUGCCUGGAUUCUUGACUGGGGGCUGCACUGAGGUUUGCUUCUGAGGGUUUGGGAGUGCGGUUGGUUAUCUUUAAUCUCAUUGUCCUGGGCUCACCGGACUGCGGGCUCUCAGUGCCAGCCCUAGAAUGUGUGUCCACGUGGCACCACUGGAUUCCUGGUCAUCUCCCAGUGCUUCUCACCCCUCACUUCUGUGGAGUGUGUGUGUGUACAUGGAUUUGAUCUCUUGAGGUGCUCCCAGGCUUCUCAGUUUCACUGGCCCUGAUGCACUGGGACCUGUGCUGUCUGAGUCUUGUGACUGGGGCUGCGAUCCUCAUCUCUCUGGCUCUGCCUUGGUGGCGGCAUCCCACAGCCAUCUAGUUUUCCCAAGGCACUGCAAGCUGCUGCCUGCCGCAGGAGAUAAAGAACAGAGCAACGCUCCUUCAGCCAGGGGGCUGCCCUUCAUAGAGCUUCUGGGGCUGAGGCCCAGGCAUACAGGGGGAGGAGGCGAGUGUGGGCUGACAG